AUGAUUACAAUGCCUCGAUUUUGUUUGUUUAACAUAACUGCUCUGUUCUUCUCAGCUUAUCCAGUUUUUCAGAACAUGUUCUGGGAGUGUCAAGCAUUUAUUUUCAAGGUCGACAGUUCCUCGUCGAACGGUGGACCUUUUACCAAGUAUGGGGUCGCUUCAGGCAAGAGGAAUAAGUUUUCCUUCGCUGCUAUCUUGGUCGCAUGCUCCUUUCAGCAAGAACGUAACAACUUGAUGUUUGAAUGGUUCAAGGCUUAUGCUUUGUGCUUUGUAUCUCUCUGUCCGACAAGGUUUACGGUUUGUGUUUCGGCAAUUACCUUCUUUUCCUAUGUAGGUUGUGAUGAGGUCGUUCUUUUCUUUUGA
RNAcentral lists this ribosomal RNA (363 nucleotides) under Triticum aestivum (bread wheat). Its description in RNAcentral is "partial small subunit ribosomal RNA". Lineage: Eukaryota; Viridiplantae; Streptophyta; Magnoliopsida; Poales; Poaceae. The record is from RNAcentral.